This 269-nucleotide long non-coding RNA is filed under the name Hordeum vulgare. Its description in RNAcentral is "long non-coding RNA (HVUL_LNC007013)". Lineage: Eukaryota; Viridiplantae; Streptophyta; Magnoliopsida; Poales; Poaceae. The record is from RNAcentral.
AUAUAUGAAAUUAUAUACAUUCUUGAUCAUUAUAGCCUCGUAUUUCUUCUCCAAUAUUUGGAUUUUGUUUGGAAAAUUUGAUCGUUUUAUCUUGCAAUGGGAAGAGGUGCUUUGUUAUGGGUUCAAUCUUGCGGCGCUCAAUCUCACUGACUAAAAGAGACAUGGCAUGCAUGUAUCGUUGCUAUUAAGGAUAAAAUGAUCGAGUCUCUUCCUACAUGAAUAGAUCUUGUCUACAUCAUGUCAUCCUUCUUAAAACAUUACUCUGUUUC